CUCCCCGGCGGGGAAUCAAACCCCGGUCGCCCGCCUGACAGGCGGGAAUACUAACCACUAUACUACCGAGGA
RNAcentral lists this transfer RNA (72 nucleotides) under Cordylochernes scorpioides. Its description in RNAcentral is "tRNA-Asp". The record is from RNAcentral. Lineage: Eukaryota; Metazoa; Arthropoda; Arachnida; Pseudoscorpiones; Chernetidae.